GUUUUCGGGUGCAUGCCGAAUAACAUUUGCUAAACCGCCAACCAGAUUAAAGUCUCUUGUUAACCCGCAAACCGAACCACUAACCAAUUAUUCUGAAACUGAAAAACCAAAUAAGGUUUGGUUCGGGUGGUUUCACAAUUUCAAAAGAAUAAGGCUCACUUCUAGUUCAAACACUCAUUCAAAGCUUAAAAGACUAGUUUAGACAUCCAUUCACAACUUAAUAGACUAGUUAGCCACUCAUUCAUAAUAUUUACACUUUUCAAGGCAUUUCACCAAACAUUUUCAUGCAACUUGUUUCUAGAUUUGAGAGUGUUCCUUGCUUCAGAUCCAUGAGCACCAAUAUGAGCACCAAUAGUUCUCUUACACUCUAGCAAUUCCAAAAAAUCAUAAUUCACAAUUUAAUACGACAUUUCAAACAUUCAUUCAUAGUAUUUACAGCUUAAAAAUAGUUUAGACCCUCAUUCACAACAUAAAAGGUUAGGAGUUGUAGGAACAAACUUGGACCAUAAAUCAAUUUUAAAUGAAAGGCCUAUUAUUUUCACGCCUUUUUUAUGAAUUUGGUUCAUUAAAGAUAAUUUUGUCCUUAUAAAUUCUAAUUGAAUAACUUAGAUAUUAAUCUCUCCCGUGAUGAUCCCCCCAACUUCGGUUUUAAUUAGACUAUGCAUAUGAAAAUUCACAAGAAAAAAAUAUGACAUUCAUUAUAUUGUGAAUGUCAAAUUAAUACCAUUAUUGUUCUUAUAAAAACAUUGAAUUUCAAAAAAGACGAUAUUUAGUAUAAUGACUAACUAGGUGUAAAACCCAUGUAUUUCAUGGGUUAAUUUAAAAGAAAAUUUAAAUAUGAAAUUCCAAACAUUUAAAAGUUUGAAUUUAUAAAAAAAAUUAAAAAAAUGUUGAAUUAUUAAAAUUAAUGUGUUUUUUUUUUCUAAAUUUAAACAAAUAAUUUAGAUAAAUAAAAAAGGAAACUAAUGAUAUUUUAAUUUAAAAUUUUUUAAAUUAAAAGGAAAGUCAAUUAAUGAAAUUGAUAAGUAUUUAUUAUUACAUUUAUUAUAAUUAUUAUAUUUAAAUAUUAUAUGGAAUUUGAUAAAAUGAAAAAAACCACAAAAUGACAUGUGGUCAAAUUAAUGAAAGUGUAACAUGUGGACAAAAUGAUUUUCAUUUAUUAUAGUAGAAGUAGACGAGAAUGUCAAAUUAAUAACAUUAUUAACUUUACAAAACAAGAAACGUCCAUAAUUCAUAGUUGAAUAAAUUAAACAAUAUUAUGAAAUUUCAUUUGAUUCAACUGUGAAAAUCAUAAGUUUUUUUUAUUCAUAAACACAAUUUACAAUUUAAUUUUACAUUAUAUUAUUAAAUAUUUUACAAAUUCAACUAAUUUAACUAUGAGCAUGAGGAGCAUUCCUAAAAUUAUAGCUUCAUGAAAACUAUUCACAGUUUAAAAAUUCAUUUAUACUAUCAACUUUCUUCCAAUGCAACUUAUUCAAGUGUGAAUAUGAUUUGACGAAACAUCAUUUACAGUUGAAUAGUUUGUUAAUUUACCAACUAUUAUGAAAUUUCAUCUCUCAUUCAAUCACAAUUAUCGAUAGCGAAUAGCGGUAAAUAACGAUGAGCUACCUAUAAGCUAUGUAGCGAUAGUGAUGGAAUAGCGAACGCUAUUUCGUAUUUAGCGAUAGGCAUAAAAAUAUUAAAAAUAUUUAUUAUGUUCAAAUACUAUAGUUAUUAUAAAUUUAUAAUCAAUAAAUAAGGAAACAAACCAUUAAACUAGAUAAAAACGUUCAAAACUUCAACCCUUAUCUCUUUUAUUCUCAUUUAUCCCUUAAAAAAGAGAGAAAAAAAACGAAAAAAAAAACCCCUAAUGUCGCUAUUUACCACGCUAUUUGUCGCUAAGCACUCAAUAGCGACCAUAUACCUAUACGCUAUGCUAUGCUAUUCGCUAUAGCGACCGCUAUGGUCGCUAUUGACAACUAUUCAUUCAAUUGUGAACAUCAUAAGUUUUGUUAUUCAUGAACACAAUUCAUAAUUUAAUUUUAUAUUAUAUUUACUAAAUAUCUUACAAAUUCAACUAAUUCAACUGUAUUCAGGAGGAUAAUUUCAAAAAUUAUAGUUUCAUGAAAACCAUUCACAGUUUAAAACUUCAUUUAUACUAUCAAUUUUCUUCAAAUGCAACUUAUUCAACUAUGAAUAUGAGUUGUUGAAACAUCAUUCAAUUCAACUAUGAAUGUAUGAAUCAUAGAACCAAAUAUAUAACUAAAUUCAUUUCAUCCUAUCGUGUUCAUCAUAAUGAUUAUAAAUUGUUAUGGAUAUGAGUUGAUGAAAGAUCAUUCACAGUUGAAUAGAUUGUCAAUUAACCGACUAUUAUGAAAUUUCAUCUAAUUCAACUAUGAAUAUCAUAAAAAUUUGUAUUCAUGAACAUCAUUUAUAAUUUAAUUUUAUAUUAUAUUACUAUAUUACUAUAUAUCUUACAAAUUCAACUAAUUCAACGGUAAUCAUGAGGACAAUUCCUAAAAUUAUAGUUUCAAAAAAAUCAUUCACAAUUCAAAAAUUCAUUUAUACUAUCGAUUUUCUUCAAAUGCAACUUAUUCUAUUGUGAAGAUGAUUUGCUGAAGCAUCAUUCAACUGUGAAUGUAUGAAUUAUAUAACCAAAUGUAUAAAUAAAUUUAUUUCAUCCAAUCAUGAUCAUUAUAAUGAUUAUAAACAAGAUAAACAUUAAAAGCAUCAUAAAAACAUAUAACAUAAUUGAUUAUUUCGUAGCCAACCUUGAUAUCAUUUGAGGCUUCAUCUUCUUCAUAGAUUUAUUCAUUGUUGGAGAUUUAUUGAAGAAAUUGAUGUAGCUCAGAAUCCUCGACGAACACCUGUGCAACACGUCCACCGGCGACAUUGCAACACAAUCGACGCAACACAACAAUCGACAGAGAGGUAAUCAGAUUCCUCAACGGUAUUUUUAAUAGAUCUGAAGUAGGAGAUCGAUACGAUUACAACAAAGAGGUUUUCCGUUUAUGUUGACGGUGAGCAUGAACAGAUGGAGGCGUUGUGGUUUAGCUAGAGAGAAGAAUUAGGUUUACGUAUUCAAAUCACAAGAUAUUUCAUCGAAUCUGAUUUGGGAAAAAAAUAAUGCCUUUAAUUUGAAAAUAAUGC
Molecule: long non-coding RNA, 3129 nt
Filed under: Lactuca sativa (garden lettuce)
Lineage: Eukaryota; Viridiplantae; Streptophyta; Magnoliopsida; Asterales; Asteraceae
Description: long non-coding RNA (LSAT_LNC009914)
Source: RNAcentral